UCUCGUUUGAUUCGUUUCAUGAAGGGCAAGGAGGAUAAGGUUGCUGUGGUUGUUGGUACUGUAACUGAUGAUAUCCGGGUGUAUGAAGUCCCUUCCCUGAAGGUUACUGCACUGAGGUUCACAGAGACAGCAAGGGCAAGGAUUGAGAAGGCAGGUGGGGAGUGCUUGACUUUUGACCAGCUUGCUCUUAAAGCUCCUCUUGGUCAGAACACGGUAUGUGAUCCAGUACUAUGAUUGCUAUUAGUUUUCUGUUAUGUGCAAUCUUUAAUUUUGCUUUGAUUACUAUUUGUUGUUAAUAAUCAGUAAGUAAUUUGGGAUUAUAAUUGUUGUGUUUAAUACAGCACGCUAUUCAAUAUCAUCUUUUCUAUUAUCUCUAUUCUCCUUUUAUUAUACUGUUUGGUGAGUGAAUUUCCCAAUCAGCAUGACCAAAAUUACAAUUUGGGAUAUAUUGUUUCUUCCUGGUUAUUACCUUAGGCAACAAAUCUUAGCACUGUUAAAGGUGUUUUUGCAAAUACAUUUCAAAUAAGAAUAUGAAAUAUUGGAAUAUAUAACUCAGAGUGUGAACCUCGAUCAAUUAGUUUGGGUAUAUGAAAACUGCCUUAUCCUUCCCAACUCAGCAGUGUAUUGGUGACUAUUAGAUUCCGCUGUUGAACUUCAUCUCUACAAACAAAUUUUGAUUUUGAAAUUAUAUUGUAGUGUUCAAGGCCAAGCUAGGGGUGUAAGAUUAUUUACUAUCAAAUACAGUUCUUGAUUGGUCAUUUGGGCUGGAAGAUUCCCUUUCACAUCAGGUCACGAGGAUAGGAGUAACCAAGCUUGGAACCUUAAAAUAUUCUUUGCACAAAAAGAAUGUAUGCUCUCUCUUCCCCCACUGCAUGGUGUUCAGGAUGAACAAUAUAUGAUGGUGGGGGAUGGCAGAUAUAUCUCUGCCUGUGGUCAACAUUUUCUAAAUGGGUGGAAUCUGGAAACUAAAAGUAAUAUCUAUUUAUCAACAAUUCAACUUAUAUUUGUUGUUAUUUUUUAUAGCAUUUAUGGUUCUAAUGUUGUGUGUACAAUUGAUUAUUUCAUCCCUUGUUUGUUUGGUAAAAUAACUUUUUUUUUUUUUAAUUUCUGAUCAUCCAGAAGAAAAUUUUGAGUGAUGCAAGUUCACUCUCAAUAUUGUAGGUUCUCCUCAGGGGUCCCAAGAAUGCUCGUGAGGCUGUGAAGCACUUUGGACCAGCACCUGGUGUCCCACACAGCCAUACCAAACCUUACGUACGAUCAAAGGGAAGGAAAUUUGAGAGGGCUAGAGGAAGAAGGAACAGCAGGGGCUUUAGGGUUUGAGUACUUGAAUUUGGUCAAAAAAUACAGAUCACCCAACCAAAUCCAAGCAGAUGCAUCCAUAGACCAACCUUCAAUUUGGUUUUGUUUUACUUCGUUUUUUUUCUCAUCCUCUGGCAUGGAACAGUUGCAUUAUAGCAGGCUAAUGUCUGCAGUUUAUUUGGUAUUUUGAUUUAAACAUUAGACUUUGGAUGUCGACUGAGGAUUGAUGGGGUAUUUUUGAAUGUUAAAUGAUCUAUGUUAUAAUUACGAUUUAUUUCUUACUAAAGAUGUAUUGAAUGUGCUAUCAUCACGAUGAAUGGUCAUUAGUGUUUGAUGUACAUAAUAGUAGGCUACUGGGCUUGA
This 1662-nucleotide unclassified non-coding RNA is filed under the name Hevea brasiliensis (rubber tree). The record is from RNAcentral. Lineage: Eukaryota; Viridiplantae; Streptophyta; Magnoliopsida; Malpighiales; Euphorbiaceae.